This 713-nucleotide long non-coding RNA is filed under the name Salmo salar (Atlantic salmon). Its description in RNAcentral is "lncRNA (ENSSSAG00000095785.1)". Lineage: Eukaryota; Metazoa; Chordata; Actinopteri; Salmoniformes; Salmonidae. The record is from RNAcentral.
AUCCAACCAUGUCUCAGUAAAACAUAAGACACUCACCUCUGAUUUGCAAACCAACAGGCGUAUCUCAUCGAUCUUAGGUAGUAGGCUUCGGACGUUUAAGUACACAAAAGGUAAGCCCUUCUUCCCAAAGGCCUCAUUGAAUUCCCGAUCCACUUGUAACUCGCCUCUCACUGCACUGCCUCCGGUGGCCUCUCUGUCGCCAUGGAGCACCCGUCCCCAGGUGCUACUCCAUCGUCCUCACCACCGCCUCUGGUGGCCUCCGCUCCGCUGUGGACCCCCCUUCCUCCAGUGCACUCUCCAACCUCGAUAAGUCCUCUGGUCCCACUCCACCUUCAAUGCUCACACACAGCAACGAUGACCUGAGCCAACUGUGCCACUUCUGUGGGGAGGUGGACAAUAAUGAGGAAAACACUAACUCGAUUGGCUGUGACCGCUGCCCACGAUGGUUCCACCAGUCCUGUAUGAAAACCAUCCCAUCAUUGGAGGAUUAUGUCUGCGCUGCCUGUCAGGACUAGGUUAGGCUUGAGUUCCAGGCGAUGAUAUCACCUGGAAAACUUUCCAUAAAAAGUGGACUAAAUGUUCAGUCGAGCUGCUGCAGCUUUCCAAUAUUUGUUUGUUAUUUAUUGUCUUUUUAUAUCUUAUAAUGCAAAGAUCAAAAUGUGUAUUUCUUAUUUAAUGUUUGUUAACAAACUUAACUUUCUGUGAUGUUUUUG